GUAAUAAUGUCAGUCGUAGUUAUGGUUAAAGAGUAACUGAUGAAACUAUGGUUUAAAUAAUAUUAUGAAUAGUUUAAUAUUAUCGAUUAUUACCUAUCUAAUAAUAUUAGUGAUAUAAUAAAAUUGCAGAAUUUUCCAUGUGACCGUCCAAAAAUCGAGGCUUUAUAAUGUGCAUUGUUCCUCAGUAGUUGUUAAUAUUUAUAAUAUAAUAUAAUAUUAAAAUAGUGUAUGAGCCGAGUGCAGCUCCGUGAAUAAUAGAUAUUCUGAAAUAAAAGAGAUACUGUUUGUAUGACGAGAUAACUAGAAACAUGUAUAGAGAUUUCUUGUGUACCCAAGUGGUCAAGUCACCCUAAAAAAUAUAACCGUAUAUUUACAGUAUAGAAACCUAUAUAUUAGAAAAGUCACCACAAGUCCGUGAACAGACUUUAUCUAGCAAGCUGACAAGAAUUAUUUUUUUUCAUGUGAUCCCUGAUGUUACACUAUAAUGUUAUACGCAAUGGUGGGAAGGUUUAAGGAUUGCGACGAGAAAACUACAUUGUCGUGAACAUGGUUAUAAAGCAUGCGUAGUUCAUUUUAGAAGAAUUUCAAGAAUUUGUCGUCGUGGUCGCGUUCAUUCAAUUAUAAUAAUAAUAUGUACAUUGUAGUAUAAAAUAUAAAUUGUACCCAUUACACGCGUGUUGUUACUUGUUUAUUAUCGAUAUU
Long non-coding RNA from Aphis gossypii (cotton aphid), 702 nucleotides. RefSeq lists it as uncharacterized. The transcript has 3 exons. The record is from RefSeq and is a predicted model, not a curated record. Lineage: Eukaryota; Metazoa; Arthropoda; Insecta; Hemiptera; Aphididae.